Oncorhynchus kisutch (coho salmon) is the source of this 570-nucleotide long non-coding RNA. RefSeq lists it as uncharacterized. The record is from RefSeq and is a predicted model, not a curated record. The transcript is spliced from 3 exons. NCBI's taxonomy places the organism in Eukaryota, Metazoa, Chordata, Actinopteri, Salmoniformes, Salmonidae.
GUGGGUUAUUGUCUAUGUUAUGUUGCUUGUUAGCACCGUGUUUCUUUGGCAGUCACGUUUGUCUUGUUUGUUUUAGUGUACUUCGUGUUUUUUCCCCCCGUCUUUCAUUAAAUCAUGUGUUAACACCACGCUGCGCUUUGGUCUACUCAAUACGACGAUCGUGACAAUUGCACUCCACGAGGAGCCUGCCUGUUAUGCGAAUGCAGUAAGAAGCCAAGGGCUCUCGAGAGGGUGGUGGGGUCUGCAAAAUGCAUUACCAGGGGCAAAGUACCUGACCUCCAGGACACCUACAGCACCUGAUGUCACAGGAAGGCCAAAAAGAUCAAGGACAACAACCACCCGAGCCCCUGCCUGUUCACCCCGGUACCAUCCAGAAGGCGAGCUGCUGGACUGUCCUCCUGGCAUGGGCUGUGUUAUUGGAACUCUGCAUCUUUGACGACAUGAUGGUCUCUACACCUGUGUUGAAACACACAUACUGGACUCAGUACUGUAUAACACUAUGGAAAAGAAUGACUGACAAUAAAUUAAUGAAUUAAUAAAUGAAUAUUGGAUAUACCUUCCACAAUUCUG